RNAcentral lists this ribosomal RNA (1318 nucleotides) under Hellula undalis. RNAcentral describes it as "16S ribosomal RNA". The record is from RNAcentral. Lineage: Eukaryota; Metazoa; Arthropoda; Insecta; Lepidoptera; Crambidae.
AAGGGGUAAAUUAAUAAAUUUAUAAAUUAAUAAAAGUAUUUUUAAUAUUGAAUGGGGGUUUAAGUAUUAAAAUAGAAAAAAUUUAUAGAUUAAUAGGGAAUUAGUAUUGUAGAAGAAAUUUGAAAUAUUUAUGAAAAUAAAUUUAUUUAAAAGUAAAUUUUAUUUGUUGUAUCUUGUGUAUCAGAGUUUAUUAAUUAUGAAUAUAAAUUUUCUCGAAUUUAAAAGAGAUAAUUAAUUAAAAAAUUUAUUGUGGCAUAAAUAUUUUUAAUAAUUAAUUUGAAAUGAAAUGUUAAUCGUUUUUAAAUAUAUCUAGUUUUUUUAGAAAAAAAUUUAAUUUUUUAUUUAUUUUUAAAAUAAUUAAUUAAUUAAUUAUUUUAAUAUUAAAUGUAAUAUUUUAAGGGAUAAGCUUUAAAUUAAAUUUUUAUAAUAAAAAUUAAUUAUUAAAAGAUUUUAUAAUUUAUAUUGUUAAUAAAUUUUAUUUUAUUAUAAAUAACUUUUAAUUAAAUAAAAUUUUAUAUAUUAUUUAAUUUUUUAUAAAAAAAUAUUUUUUAAUUUAAUAAAUAUAGAUAUAAUGAUAAAAUUAGUAUAAAAUAAAAAUAAAAGAAAUUAAUUUUUUAAAAAUUAAUUUAAAAGAAUUCGGCAAAUAUUUAUAUUCACUUGUUUAUCAAAAACAUGUCUUUUUGAGAAUAAUUUAAAGUCUAAUCUGCCCACUGAUAUUAUAUUAAAGGGCUGCAGUAUAUUGACUGUACAAAGGUAGCAUAAUCAUUAGUCUCUUAAUUGGUGACUUGUAUGAAAGAUUGGAUGAGAUAUAAACUGUUUCUAAAUUAAGUUUAGAAUUUAAUUUUUUAGUUAAAAAGCUAAAAUAAAUUUAAAAGACGAGAAGACCCUAUAGAGUUUUAUAAUUUUAUUAAUUUGUUUUAUUUAUAAUAUAUAGUAAAUAAAAUUAUUAAAAUUAUUUUAUUGGGGUGAUAAAAAAAUUAAAUUAACUUUUUUUAAGUUAAAAACAUAGAUAAGUGAAUAAAAUGAUCCAAAAUUAUUUUGAUUAUAAGAAAAAAUUACCUUAGGGAUAACAGCGUAAUUUUUUUUUUUAGUACAAAUAAGAAAAAGAGUUUGCGACCUCGAUGUUGGAUUAAGAUAAAAUUUAAAUGCAAAAGUUUAAAAUUUUUGAUCUGUUCGAUCAUUAAAAUCUUACAUGAUCUGAGUUCAAACCGGUGUGAGCCAGGUUGGUUUCUAUCUUUAAAUAAUAAAAAUAUUUUAGUACGAAAGGAUCAAAUAUUUAAAUUAAAUUUAUAUAUUGAAUUUUAAUAAUUAUUUUGUA